Acanthopagrus latus (yellowfin seabream) is the source of this 1162-nucleotide long non-coding RNA. RefSeq lists it as uncharacterized. NCBI's taxonomy places the organism in Eukaryota, Metazoa, Chordata, Actinopteri, Spariformes, Sparidae. The transcript has 2 exons. The record is from RefSeq and is a predicted model, not a curated record.
CAGGCGGCCGGUUUCAGUGCCUCCCUCCUUUUAAAUGCUAAUGAGCUACUACAUGCACCGCCCAAAGAUGUAUUUGCGCCGCCCACCUCUCCCUGCCUGCGGAAGACGUGAGGGCGGCAUUGUGUGACCAUGGCAACGGCUGAGUUACCGGAAGAAAUGGCCGCCGGACAACAAACUGCGGUGCAACCGUACAUGUUCGAGCCGGAGUCCGACCCAGAACAACAAGAGGCUCCAGAAGAAGUUCAGCAGCCAAGAAUGAACAUGGAUGUUUCUCAGUGGUGCUCCUGUGGCAGUUGUGAACAAGUGCCUACAGAGCCCGAGAAUAUCUGCUGUAUUGAAAUAAAACAAGUAAGUGUGAACACUGGGCAAACAAGGUUGUUAUUUUGCAGUCUCUUUUCUUUAAUCCAUUGUCACUCACUUACCUUUCAUAACUUCUAGGUUACACAAAGACUAAGUUACAGCAGCUUCCUGAGCAACCAUCAUGCAUGCUGGACCAUCCUGGCCUAGAACCUGUCUGCCUGAAUGUGUUUUCACCGCAGAAUGCACUGAACAUUUAUCGGGCAGACUACGGACCUUUACGUCUGAGGGGAAUAGUGCAGUAAGCUUUUUAGGCCCAUAAAUUUAUUGCAAAAGUGUUAUGAAGUACAUAACUGCUUCCUCUGUUUUACAUUGCUUAUAGUUUAUCUUUACUAUCUUUUACUUGGUAACAUGAAAACUACAUAUCAAACAAUGAAAACACACAGAACAGUUGGGAGAUAUGUUUUAUUGCAAGAAACAAUUGUAGACAUACAAAAUAUAUCUAAAGUGGAACAGUUAAACUUGCCAGUUGCCAUGGAUGUGAACAUUCAGUGCUGACUUUCUGCUGAAUUGUAUCCAACCAACAUAGAGCCUAGCCUUACAGAAGCUUUGUAAGCUGGUGCUGGUGUUUUCUGGGGCGAAGAGUGAGAGCUGUGCUGCCUGCCUGCGUGGUGCUGAGGAUUCAUGCAGAGUUCCCUGAUGCUGAAGGUUCAGUCCUGUCCUUGAUUGAACCUUGGCACGUAACUGGCUAUAACAUCCAGCUUGUUGGGUUGGCUGAGAGGGAUAGUAAGUUUCAGCACCUCGUUCACAUAUGGGCCAGGGUCCUGGAAAACCUUCUUGAAGAUCAGGUCCAACAGUGCAUCAA